Molecule: long non-coding RNA, 877 nt
Filed under: Zonotrichia albicollis (white-throated sparrow)
Lineage: Eukaryota; Metazoa; Chordata; Aves; Passeriformes; Passerellidae
Description: lncRNA (ENSZALG00000009662.1)
Source: RNAcentral
GUUCAUCAAUUAUAUUAUUUAUUGGCUUGUCUGUUCAAUUUUAGGGUGAUAUAGUCUGGUAUGCUAUUGUUUGCCAAAGGAUUGGAACAGUGAGUACAAACCAUGCUUUAUCAAUUGUAUUUAUUGUCUAAUUUAAUGCAAAUGAUUAUUUUCUGCAAUAGUAUUUAAUUGAAAGCUAUGGUGCAGGGAGUUCAGAGUACCUUGUAGAAGAUUUCCUGUUGAAGUCUACUGGUUGAAAGGAGUGUUUUUGUUCACAGAAAAUGAAGGUAAACUUCAAAAAGUUAAUUUUAAGAAUGGUAGUCUGAUUCUAAAUGGUAGUUUAAUGAAAGGGUGUAUUUUUGAGGAUCUCAUUCUAGAUGAAAUUAAUGUUAGCAGAGUGCUGCCACCUCACUGUUGUCAUUUCUUUCACUGCCAAGACUGAUCAGAUAGAGAACGGCCGGAAUGUAAAACUGAUAGAUGUAAACGACAAUGCUCCAGAAUUUCAGCAAGCUAACUACAGUGCUUCAGUGUCAGAGGUAGCUGGAAUUAAUUCCACGGUUGUAAAAGUGGAAGCUCAGGAUAAGGACUUUACACCAGAAUUCAGCAUCCUUACCUACAGUCUUUGGGGCCCAAACUCUGAUUACUUUUCGAUAAGGGAAGGAGAUGGAAACGUCAUGGUGAAAAAACCACUGGAUUACAACGAGGUCAACUUUUUCAAUUUAACAGUCCAAGCAAAGGAAAGAUUUGGAAGCCAGAGUGCCACUGCCCCAUUAAUAAUUAAUGUGGAAGAUUAUGAUACAUUGAACCCCUAUUUCAGUCAAUUCACAUACAAUGGGAAUAUCACUGAAAACCAGGUGGGUCCUCUGGAUGUUUUCCCAGAGGUCUUGGCUCAGGAUGG